CCUACGGGAGGCAGCAGUGGGGAAUCUUGCGCAAUGGGCGAAAGCCUGACGCAGCCAUGCCGCGUGAAUGAUGAAGGUCUUAGGAUUGUAAAAUUCUUUCAGUAGGGACGAUAAUGACGGUACCUACAGAAGAAGCCCCGGCUAACUUCGUGCCAGCAGCCGCGGUAAUACGAAGGGGGCUAGCGUUGCUCGGAAUUACUGGGCGUAAAGGGAGCGUAGGCGGGUUAUCAAGUUGGAGGUGAAAGCCCAGGGCUCAACCUUGGAAUUGCCUUCAAAACUGAUAGCCUAGAGUAUGAUAGAGGUAUGUGGAACUCCGAGUGUAGAGGUGAAAUUCGUAGAUAUUCGGAAGAACACCAGUGGCGAAGGCGACAUACUGGGUCAUGACUGACGCUGAGGCUCGAAAGCGUGGGGAGCAAACAGGAUUAGAUACCCUGGUAGUCCACGCUGUAAACGAUGAUUGCUAGUUGUCGGACGGCAUGCCGUUCGGUGACGCAGCUACGACAUAAGUACGAUACCGCCGUGGGAGGUACGGUCGGCGAGAAGUUAAACGUAACGUUAAAGAAAGUAGUUAGGCGUGAGACGNGCCGACGGACGACGACGAGGGAGGAGG
Molecule: ribosomal RNA, 610 nt
Filed under: uncultured bacterium
Lineage: Bacteria
Description: bacterial SSU rRNA
Rfam family: Bacterial small subunit ribosomal RNA (bases 1-519)
Source: RNAcentral